ACCGGCAGCUCAAGUGGUGGCCAUUUUUAUUGGGCCUAAAGCGUUCGUAGCCGGUUUGAUAAGUCUCUGGUGAAAUCCCGCAGCUUAACUGUGGGACUUGCUGGAGAUACUAUUAGUCUUGAGGACGGGAGAGGUUAGUGGGAUUCCCAGGGUAGAGGUGAAAUGCUAUGAUACUGGGAGGAACACCUGUGGCGAAGGCGGCUACCUGGAACGAACCUGACGCUGAGGCACGAAAGCCUGGGGCGCGAACCG
RNAcentral lists this ribosomal RNA (252 nucleotides) under uncultured prokaryote. Its description in RNAcentral is "partial 16S rRNA". It matches the Rfam family "Archaeal small subunit ribosomal RNA", at positions 475 to 726 of the family's 1478-position model. The record is from RNAcentral.